UUAGCCCGGAAUAAAUAUGUUUUAGAAAACUUAAUUGGCCAGACUGUCCGCCCCUAUACCAAGGUUGGCCUUCAUCCGGAAGAUUGUCAGAGACCACAAGACAAAAGACCUUUUUUGUGGGGUCCUAGGUCGGAGGUGUAAGGGCAAACAGCAUUUGAGUGCUUGCUUCAUUUGGCCCAGGUCUGCCUGCUUCCAGCCCCAGGCGCUUCCGGGUGCGGUCGGUCUGCCCCGGAUCGACCCCAGCACGGGAUCUGGAUAAAGCCAUGAAGAAGGAGCCAGGGUCCUGCCUGGCACGAGUAUUCAGUGGAGGGCCAGGCAGGACGGACCGGACCGGGCCGUGCCGGGCUGGGCGGGGUCGGGAUGUAGGAGCUACUUAGCAAACAUCAACACCUGUUAAGAGUUACACUCGAGAACAAAGCUGCAAAUUGGCUGGCGGACGCAAGCAACGAGAGAGACAGCUAUAUAAGGAGAGAGAGAACGAAAACGGGAACGGGACAGGGAGAGAGAGCUAUGACGAUGGAAAUUUUGCUGACCGCAGGCAAUGGCGAUGUUCCGGGCCAUGACGACGCCAUGGUAAUGGUAGCACAAAGCACGCCAAGGAAGGACGG
Long non-coding RNA from Drosophila persimilis, 608 nucleotides. RefSeq lists it as uncharacterized. The transcript has 4 exons. The record is from RefSeq and is a predicted model, not a curated record. Lineage: Eukaryota; Metazoa; Arthropoda; Insecta; Diptera; Drosophilidae.